This 376-nucleotide unclassified non-coding RNA is filed under the name uncultured Simkaniaceae bacterium. RNAcentral describes it as "contains 16S-23S intergenic spacer region". The record is from RNAcentral. Lineage: Bacteria; Pseudomonadati; Chlamydiota; Chlamydiia; Parachlamydiales; Simkaniaceae.
UCCUAGUUAACCUAGGCAGUCUCGUUAGAGUCCCCACCAUUACGCGCUGGUAACUAACGACAAGGGUUGCGCUCGUUGCGGGACUUAACCCAACACCUCACGGCACGAGCUGACGACAGCCAUGCAGCACCUGUAUAGAGGCCUUGCGGAAGCACUAUCUCUAGUGCGGUCCUCUAUAUGUCAAGCCUGGGUAAGGUUCUUCGCGUUGCAUCGAAUUAAACCACAUGCUCCACUGCUUGUGCGGGCCCCCGUCAAUUCUUUUGAGUUUCACCCUUGCGGGCGUACUCCCCAGGUGGCAUACUUAACGCGUUAGCUACGGCACAGUCGGGGUUGAGUCCAACUACACCAAGUAUGCAUCGUUUACGGCAAGGACUAC